RNAcentral lists this ribosomal RNA (253 nucleotides) under uncultured bacterium. RNAcentral describes it as "partial 16S ribosomal RNA". It matches the Rfam family "Bacterial small subunit ribosomal RNA", at positions 524 to 776 of the family's 1533-position model. The record is from RNAcentral.
GACGUAGGAUGCAAGCGUUGUCCGGAAUUAUUGGGCGUAAAGAGCUCGUAGGCGGUUUGUCGCGUCUGCUGUGAAAACCUAAGGCUCAACCUUGGGCUUGCAGUGGGUACGGGCAGACUAGAGUGCGGUAGGGGUGACUGGAAUUCCUGGUGUAGCGGUGGAAUGCGCAGAUAUCAGGAGGAACACCGAUGGCGAAGGCAGGUCACUGGGCCGCAACUGACGCUGAGGAGCGAAAGCAUGGGGAGCGAACAGG